GGGGGAGAAGCUCUGCUCCAGCCUUGGCAGCUCACAUGUGCCCCGACCUCCCUGGUUCUGCAUUUGCAAGGCUGCACCAGCAGUUCCCACGCUCCUCCUGCACAUGACUGUGGGUUAGCUGGGCUCAAGACUCUGCUCAGAUCCUCUGAGGUCUGUUUUCUUCAUAGUCAUCUUCUGUAAGUACCAGAUUCUACAAUGGUGGCCUUAUGGGAUUACGCACUUCUGGAUAUUUGGGCGAAAUGUUCAGUUAUACAAUCUCCUGUCUUCAGCUCCGGCCGACAGCAGAUCCUUCAGCAAGGAUACAAAAAGAGGGCAAAUAUGUACUGCUACUUCUCCAGAGCACUGUCCCUGCCACCAGUCCCUUCUGACAUGGGGUUUCUGAAGCCAAGGGAGCAAGUUUUCAGUUCAAUGACACAGCAUGAGCAUUUCUUCUCCAGAUUUUUCUUUUAGACGCAUAAACUACUCAUCACUGCAACAUCUUCUGUCAAAGAAGUCCACAUCUUGAUGACCCAUUAUGCAAAAGACCACCUUCAUUCUUGUCGUCCUCUGAAGCACCAGUGGCAUUGUUUUCAUGGCCACCUCAGACCAUCUUACCCUGUUGCCAGGAGGCUGUCAGGAGCUCCCAAAUUUCACAUCCACCAUCACAUCCCCUUCAGUUCAGCAGAGACGUUGGUGACUGCCUGAAGCAGCGAAAAGGAAGAAGAGGAAUCUUAUGGCCUUAUCCAGGACAUUGAGUUCUGUGGUCCAAGGGUUCCUUCGUGUCCACGAAGCUGUGAAUCACCCCUGAAGGAGCCAAAGAUAACUUAGCUCUGGUGGAAGCAUCUGCACCCUGGUGAACGAAGUGAAGCAAUCCCUAUCCCACAUCACGCACCUUGGAUGCUUCCAGCUGCUUUGUGCAAUGUGGCUGAAACUGGUCUACUCUAUCUAACCAACUUUUGGAAGGUUUGAAAGCUGGGGGAGGAAGGGGUACAAACACAUACAUUGACGAUGCAGUGAUGGAACCAACCAGGAAUGCCAAGGACAUGCCAGUGAGUGACCCCUCUUUGAAAGUGAAUUGCCCUUCACAAGGAGAUGCCUAGAGCAACUCUAAAGCCAAGAACAACCCUACAGCGAAGGCAGCUUCUUGUAUCCUUUGGUCUCUCUGUCAUUGCUCUGGGACAUGGACUACCUCUGUUCCUCUCAGCCACAAUCCUGUGUCACUCUGGGACGUCCUCCUGCUUGUGCAGAGCGAGGUAAAUGCCCUGGGGUGAGUUACACUGUUGUAGUAUGGCUCAUUUCCUUCCCCAGUUUCUCAUUUGCAAGCUCUGCAGGGAAAUCUACAUUUUCCACAACGAGAGUGAAUAUUGGGUGAGUCGCUCCAUUCCAGAAAUAAACUUAAAUGCUUUCCUAAUUUCCUAACAUAAUAUGUUUUUCCCUUUUAUUUUAAUAAAAAAUAACAAUAAUAAAACAAAGCACCCUUUCUCCGUUUCUCUUCCUUACACAAACACAUAAUCCUGGUGCCUUAAUGUCUCAUCAAGAAAAUCCAGACUGGAGGCUGCAGCCAGGACUCUGUGCCACCUCGAUAUUUUGGACACAUAUUUGGACUCACAUAUGCACACAUUUUGCCUUCCCUGCCUCAGCAGGACAAGACUUCAGAUCUUUUCUUGCAUCCACAAGCUUGAAUGGAUACACCGAGCCUCAGCAGGGAAAGGUCAUUUCCACUCAUUGACAUUCACACUGUCUCCCCAUUUGUAUGCUUCGAGAGAUAUUUAUAUUUAAAAAGCAUCAGCCUGGCUAAGGAGAGACUUUCCAUUUGUCAGGAUUUCUGGGAAAAGGGAAAUUUCACACCUGUAGGAAUAUGGAUUUUUGACAGAAAAAAAGAAGAAAUCCUGAUGUAUCUUCUCCUAAUGGCCCUGCUCAGUUACUGGAUUGAGGCUGCUGCCAGUCCUGUGGAACGGCUUCCCAGAAAAGAGGGGUUUUCU
Molecule: long non-coding RNA, 1961 nt
Organism: Gallus gallus (chicken)
Lineage: Eukaryota; Metazoa; Chordata; Aves; Galliformes; Phasianidae
Source: Ensembl